RNAcentral lists this long non-coding RNA (1059 nucleotides) under Sus scrofa (pig). RNAcentral's name for it is "lncRNA (ENSSSCG00005025989.1)". The record is from RNAcentral. Lineage: Eukaryota; Metazoa; Chordata; Mammalia; Artiodactyla; Suidae.
UCUGCAGCUGAUACCAAUUCCCGAUAGGGAAUUUGUCCUCUAGUUUUAUAAGAUGUUCCCAUCGAGAGAAACUGCUUAAAAAAAUACAGGAGAACCCUCUCCUAGGUCCGACUACGGUAUGUAAAUCUACAAUUAUCACAAUGUAAAAAGUUUACAUGUAAACUUACAGGGGAAUUGAAAUUUACCACAAAUCUCCAAUUGAGUCUACUGUGCUCUAGCACACCGAAAUUCUGAGGGUCUAAGCAUGUGUUUGGAGUUCACGGAGUUCCCACUGGGGCUCAGCAGGAUAAGAACCUGACUGGUAUGCAUGAAGAUGCGGGUUCAAUCCUUGGCCUCACUCGGUGGGUUAAGGGCCUGGCGUUGCUGCAAGCUGCGGCUUAGGUGGUAGAUGCGGCUGGGAUCUGGUGUGGCUGUGGCAGGGGCAUAGGCCUGCAGCUGCGGCUCCAAUUGAAUCCUUAGUCUGGGAACUUUCAUAUGCUGCACCUGUAGCCAUAAAAAAGAAAAAAUAAUAAUAGUAAUUAUAGUUCACAAAACUGCUGGCUUUGAUCCUCUUGUCCCUUCCAACUCAGUAGCCUGGAAACCUCCCAGAGCUCUAUCUUAAGAUCUGUGCUUUUCUGUGGCACUUUCUCCCCUCCUCAUUGUUCUGGGUUCAUUAGAUAAAACUGUCCCAAACUCCUGCUGAGAGAUGAUCUAUUGUGAGAUAGCUUUGUGAGGCAGAACACAGGAAACCUCAGGGUCUUAUCUCCUGUGAGCCGUCUGUUUUUCCCCAACAGCCCAAUAAAGGAGACUCCUCAGCUGGCGGGGAGUGGUUGGGAAGGCAGACACGGUCCCCAGACCCCUGACCCCUGACCCCACCCUCCACGGCCCUCUCUGUCGCAGACGUCGUAAAAUGUCUCUCUCCUCAUCAUGGAUCAAAGCUGUUUUCAUCAUUUCCUUGGCAGGACCUCUUCAUUCUGGUGAGUAGAUUUUCAUCUGCAGUGAAACAUGUUACAUAUCUUAGAAAGUGCAGGAAAAAGUUCUGUAAUCCAGGAAUGGAGGAGCUUGUGUUUUAUUGGGUUU